CCUACGGGUGGCACCAGUGGGGAAUAUUGCACAAUGGGCGCAAGCCUGAUGCAGCCAUGCCGCGUGUAUGAAGAAGGCCUUCGGGUCGUAAAGUACUUUCAGCGGGGAGGAAGGCGAUAAGGUUAAUAACCUUGUCGAUUGACGUUACCCGCAGAAGAAGCACCGGCUAACUCCGUGCCAGCAGCCGCAGUAAUACGGAGGGUGCAAGCGUUAAUCGGAAUUACUGGGCGUAAAGCGCACGCAGGCGGUCUGUCAAGUCGGAUGUGAAAUCCCCGGGCUCAACCUGGGAACUGCAUUAGAAACUGGCAGGCUGGAGUCUUGUAGAGGGGGGUAGAAUUCCAGGUGUAGCGGUGAAAUGCGUAGAGAUCUGGAGGAAUACCGGUGGCGAAGGCGGCCCCUGGACAAAGACUGACGCUCAGGUGC
RNAcentral lists this ribosomal RNA (423 nucleotides) under uncultured bacterium. Its description in RNAcentral is "bacterial SSU rRNA". It matches the Rfam family "Bacterial small subunit ribosomal RNA", at positions 338 to 754 of the family's 1533-position model. The record is from RNAcentral.